GAUGAACGCUGGCGGCGUGCCUAAUACAUGCAAGUCGAGCGCGAGCGAUUGGAGCUUGCUCCAAUCAAUCGAGCGGCGGACGGGUGAGUAACACGUAGGCAACCUACCCAUCAGACUGGGAUAACCACGGGAAACCGUGGCUAAUACCGGAUGAUCCUUUGAGACACAAGUCUUAAAGUUGAAAGGCGCUUUUGGUGCCGUUGAUGGAUGGGCCUGCGGCGCAUUAGCUGGUUGGUGGGGUAACGGCCCACCAAGGCGACGAUGCGUAGCCGAGCUGAGAGGGUGAUCGGCCACACUGGGACUGAGACACGGCCCAGACUCCUACGGGAGGCAGCAGUAGGGAAUCUUCCGCAAUGGGCGAAAGCCUGACGGAGCAAUGCCGCGUGAGUGAAGAAGGCCUUCGGGUCGUAAAACUCUGUUAUAAGAGAAGAACAAAUUGUAGAGUAACUGCUACGGUCUUGACGGUAUCUUAUCAGAAAGCCACGGCUAACUACGUGCCAGCCGCCGCAGUAA
This 513-nucleotide ribosomal RNA is filed under the name uncultured bacterium. RNAcentral's name for it is "partial 16S ribosomal RNA". It matches the Rfam family "Bacterial small subunit ribosomal RNA", at positions 28 to 523 of the family's 1533-position model. The record is from RNAcentral.